RNAcentral lists this ribosomal RNA (203 nucleotides) under uncultured bacterium. Its description in RNAcentral is "partial 16S ribosomal RNA". It matches the Rfam family "Bacterial small subunit ribosomal RNA", at positions 28 to 232 of the family's 1533-position model. The record is from RNAcentral.
GACGAACGCUGGCGGCGUGCUUAACACAUGCAAGUCGAGCGGUAAGGCCCUUCGGGGUACACGAGCGGCGAACGGGUGAGUAACACGUGGGUGACCUGCCCUUAGCUCUGGGAUAAGCCUGGGAAACUGGGUCUAAUACCGGAUAUGACCUCAUGACGCAUGUUGUGGGGUGGAAAGCCUUGUGCGGCUAGGGGAUGGGGCCC